CAGCCGCCGCGGGAAUACGAAGGGGGCUAGCGUUGUUCGGAUUUACUGGGCGUAAAGGGCGCGUAGGCGGACUGAUAAGUCAGGGGUGAAAUCCCAAGGCUCAACCUUGGAACUGCCUUUGAUACUGUUUGUCUUGAGUUCGAGAGAGGUAAGUGGAAUUCCAUGCGUAGCGGUGAAAUGCGUAGAUAUAUGGAGGAGCACCGGUGGCGAAAGCGGCUCUCUGGUCUGUCACUGACGCUGAGGCUCGAAAGCGUGGGUAGCGAACAGGAUUAGAUACCCCCGUAGUCCCUGUCUCUUAUAC
This 301-nucleotide ribosomal RNA is filed under the name uncultured bacterium. RNAcentral's name for it is "partial 16S ribosomal RNA". It matches the Rfam family "Bacterial small subunit ribosomal RNA", at positions 509 to 807 of the family's 1533-position model. The record is from RNAcentral.